AUUGAACGCUGGCGGCAUGCCUUACACAUGCAAGUCGAACGGCAGCACGGGUGCUUGCACCUGGUGGCGAGUGGCGAACGGGUGAGUAAUACAUCGGAACGUACCUUAUCGUGGGGGAUAACGCAGCGAAAGCUGUGCUAAUACCGCAUACGCCCUGAGGGGGAAAGCGGGGGAUCGAAAGACCUCGCGCGAUUAGAGCGGCCGAUGCCUGAUUAGCUUGUUGGUGGGGUAAAAGCCCACCAAGGCGACGAUCAGUAGCUGGUCUGAGAGGACGAUCAGCCACACUGGGACUGAGACACGGCCCAGACUCCUACGGGAGGCAGCAGUGGGGAAUUAUGGGCAAUGGGGGCAACCCUGAUCCAGCAAUGCCGCGUGAGUGAAGAAGGCCUUCGGGUUGUAAAGCUCUUUUGUCAGGGAAGAAACACCGGCUCUAACACAGUCCGGGAAUGACGGUACCUGAAGAAUAAGCACCGGCUAACUACGUGCCAGCAGCCGCGGUAA
RNAcentral lists this ribosomal RNA (501 nucleotides) under uncultured bacterium. RNAcentral's name for it is "partial 16S ribosomal RNA". It matches the Rfam family "Bacterial small subunit ribosomal RNA", at positions 29 to 523 of the family's 1533-position model. The record is from RNAcentral.